Molecule: long non-coding RNA, 630 nt
Organism: Topomyia yanbarensis
Lineage: Eukaryota; Metazoa; Arthropoda; Insecta; Diptera; Culicidae
Exons: 3
Source: RefSeq, a predicted model, not a curated record
ACCAUUUUAUGUUUACAACAUAAACUCCUGAAAAGAUUAAUUUCAUACGGACACAAAUCCUAUGAACGUGCUACCGUCCGAUGUGAUGACCUGGAUCAGCGGGAAUGUUUCGAAUAUAAUAACGGACUGACAUAUGAGGCAAACGGUUUACGUCGACGUAGCUGGUUUAGAUUAACGCGAUGAAUAUUAUUUCUCCAAGUUGGUGCCGAAAGCUUACAGGGAUAUCAUACAAUGCAGGAAGACGAAGAUUAUCUGCGAUCACCAUACCGAUAGCGAAAAUACUCGCACGUUGCAGCAGCUUGAAAAUGGAGUAGUUUUCGAAACGGUACAUGUGCAGUAUGUGGUAAAAUGAAAUGAAGCAAUGCUAUGUUACAAGUUGAUUGGCCUUGAGAACAAAGGAUAAUCUGAAGCAGCUUAGUACUCGGUUGCAGUACAUGCAGAAUUUCAAUAUAACCUUCUAUGUAUCACAACUAGCGAAUCCAGUGUAUCUUCCGGUAUGUCGCACAUACUGAAGCAUAACGUUCUCUAUGAGCGCCAAGAUCCCCAAGAAAUUGAAGAACUUUAUUUGGGAAGUUUUCUAUAACAUUAUAAAUAAUUGAUAAAGAAUAGUUUGUUAUUUUCUCCUUUUAA